GUUGAACGCUGGCGGAAUGCUUUACACAUGCAAGUCGAACGGUAGAGGGGGCAACCCCUUGAGAGUGGCGAACGGGUGAGUAAUAUAUCGGAACGUGCCCAGUCGUGGGGGAUAACGUAGCGAAAGUUACGCUAAUACCGCAUACGAUCUAAGGAUGAAAGCGGGGGAUCGCAAGACCUCGCGCGAUUGGAGCGGCCGAUAUCAGAUUAGGUAGUUGGUGGGGUAAAGGCUCACCAAGCCAACGAUCUGUAGCUGGUCUGAGAGGACGACCAGCCACACUGGAACUGAGACACGGUCCAGACUCCUACGGGAGGCAGCAGUGGGGAAUUUUGGACAAUGGGGGAAACCCUGAUCCAGCAAUGCCGCGUGAGUGAAGAAGGCCUUCGGGUUGUAAAGCUCUUUUGUCAGGGAAGAAACACCGGCUCUAACACAGUCCGGGAAUGACGGUACCUGAAGAAUAAGCACCGGCUAACUACGUG
This 479-nucleotide ribosomal RNA is filed under the name uncultured bacterium. Its description in RNAcentral is "bacterial SSU rRNA". It matches the Rfam family "Bacterial small subunit ribosomal RNA", at positions 28 to 507 of the family's 1533-position model. The record is from RNAcentral.